UCCCUGGUGGCUCAGCUGGUAAAGAAUCUGCCUGCAAUGCAGAAAACCCUGAUUCGACUCCUGGGUUGGGAA
RNAcentral lists this transfer RNA (72 nucleotides) under Bos taurus (domestic cattle). It matches the Rfam family "tRNA". From Rfam's summary of the family: Transfer RNA (tRNA) molecules are approximately 80 nucleotides in length. Their secondary structure includes four short double-helical elements and three loops (D, anti-codon, and T loops). Further hydrogen bonds mediate the characteristic L-shaped molecular structure. tRNAs have two regions of fundamental functional importance: the anti-codon, which is responsible for specific mRNA codon recognition, and the 3' end, to which the tRNAs corresponding amino acid is attached (by aminoacyl-tRNA synthetases). tRNAs cope with the degeneracy of the genetic code in two manners: having more than one tRNA (with a specific anti-codon) for a particular amino acid; and 'wobble' base-pairing, i.e. permitting non-standard base-pairing at the 3rd anti-codon position. The record is from Rfam by way of RNAcentral. Lineage: Eukaryota; Metazoa; Chordata; Mammalia; Artiodactyla; Bovidae. RNAcentral also lists the same sequence under 5 other names.